This 267-nucleotide ribosomal RNA is filed under the name Clostridioides difficile. RNAcentral describes it as "partial 16S ribosomal RNA". It matches the Rfam family "Bacterial small subunit ribosomal RNA", at positions 569 to 836 of the family's 1533-position model. Lineage: Bacteria; Bacillati; Bacillota; Clostridia; Peptostreptococcales; Peptostreptococcaceae. The record is from RNAcentral.
GCGUAGGCGGUCUUUCAAGUCAGGAGUGAAAGGCUACGGCUCAACCGUAGUAAGCUCUUGAAACUGGGAGACUUGAGUGCAGGAGAGGAGAGUGGAAUUCCUAGUGUAGCGGUGAAAUGCGUAGAGAUUAGGAGGAACACCAGUUGCGAAGGCGGCUCGCUGGACUGUAACUGACGCUGAGGCACGAAAGCGUGGGGAGCAAACAGGAUUAGAUACCCCAGAUGGGCACGAUGGUAACGAUGAUCACUGGGGGUUGUGGGGGUGCAC